GGAUUAGGCUGUUCUACCGCCGCGGUAUUUGCCGGGGAGGAAAGUCCGGACAGCAUAGAGUACCGUACUUCCUAACGGGAAGGCAGCAGGUUGGGAACGAUGUGCUGACAGCAAGUGCCACAGAAAAUGAUACCGCCUGGCAUGUUUUUUGAUGUACCAGGUAAGGGUGAAAAGGUGGAGUAAGAGCCCACCGCUCUUCGGGUAACCGCAGAGGCACGGUAAACCUUACGGGCUGAAAGAUCAAAUAGGUGCUGGUUAGUGGGGUUACUCGUCCCCGUUUCUGAAAGGAAGCAUCAGCAUGGGUAGAUCGUUAGAGAUUCCGGGUGACCGGAAUCCUGGAUAAAUGGUAGAAAUCUUCCCGAAGCCUGGCUCUGGGAAGAACACAGAAUCCGGCUUACAGGCUUAAACCUUUU
RNAcentral lists this RNase P RNA (413 nucleotides) under Dyadobacter helix. RNAcentral describes it as "Dyadobacter sp. CECT 9275 Bacterial RNase P class A". It matches the Rfam family "Bacterial RNase P class A". Rfam says of the family: Ribonuclease P (RNase P) is a ubiquitous endoribonuclease, found in archaea, bacteria and eukarya as well as chloroplasts and mitochondria. Its best characterised activity is the generation of mature 5'-ends of tRNAs by cleaving the 5'-leader elements of precursor-tRNAs. Cellular RNase Ps are ribonucleoproteins. Lineage: Bacteria; Pseudomonadati; Bacteroidota; Cytophagia; Cytophagales; Spirosomataceae. The record is from Rfam by way of RNAcentral.